GGGCCCGCACAAGCGGAGGAACAUGUGGUUUAAUUCGAUGAUACGCGAGGAACCUUACCUAGGCUUAAAUGUAGAUUGCAUAAUUUGGAAACAGAUUUUUCCUUCGGGACUAUUUACAAGGUGCUGCAUGGUUGUCGUCAGCUCGUGCCGUGAGGUGUCGGGUUAAGUCCCAUAACGAGCGCAACCCUCAUCGCCAGUUGCCAGCAUGUAAUGAUGGGGACUCUGGUGAAACUGCCGGUGUAAACCGUGAGGAAGGUGGGGAUGACGUCAAAUCAGCACGGCCCUUAUGUCUAGGGCUACACACGUGUUACAAUGGCCAAUACAGUGGGCAGCCACCCGGCGACGGGGAGCUAAUCCAUAAAGUUGGUCUUAGUUCGGAUCGGAGUCUGCAACUCGACUCCGUGAAGCUGGAUUCGCUAGUAAUCGCACAUCAGCCAUGGUGCGGUGAAUACGUUCCCGGGCCUU
RNAcentral lists this ribosomal RNA (465 nucleotides) under uncultured bacterium. Its description in RNAcentral is "bacterial SSU rRNA". It matches the Rfam family "Bacterial small subunit ribosomal RNA", at positions 917 to 1382 of the family's 1533-position model. The record is from RNAcentral.